RNAcentral lists this transfer RNA (65 nucleotides) under Mandarella nipponensis. RNAcentral's name for it is "tRNA-His". The record is from RNAcentral. Lineage: Eukaryota; Metazoa; Arthropoda; Insecta; Coleoptera; Chrysomelidae.
AUUCAAGUAGUUUAAUUUAAAAAUAUUGAUUUGUGGUAUCAAAGAUAUAGGCGUUAUUUUGGAUU